GAUGAACGCUGGCGGCGUGCCUAAUACAUGCAAGUCGAGCGAACGGACGAGAAGCUUGCUUCUCUGAUGUUAGCGGCGGACGGGUGAGUAACACGUGGAUAACCUACCUAUAAGACUGGGAUAACUUCGGGAAACCGGAGCUAAUACCGGAUGAUAUUUUGAACCGCAUGGUUCAAAAGUGAAAGACGGUCUUGCUGUCACUUAUAGAUGGAUCCGCGCUGCAUUAGCUAGUUGGUAAGGUAACGGCUUACCAAGGCAACGAUGCAUAGCCGACCUGAGAGGGUGAUCGGCCACACUGGAACUGAGGCAAGGUCCAGACUCCUACGGGAGGCAGCAGUAGGGAAUCUUCCGCAAUGGGCGAAAGCCUGACGGAGCAACGCCGCGUGAGUGAUGAAGGUCUUCGGAUCGUAAAACUCUGUUAUUAGGGAAGAACAUAUGUGUAAGUAACUGUGCACAUCUUGACGGUACCUAAUCAGAAAGCCACGGCUAACUACGUG
This 497-nucleotide ribosomal RNA is filed under the name uncultured bacterium. RNAcentral describes it as "partial 16S ribosomal RNA". It matches the Rfam family "Bacterial small subunit ribosomal RNA", at positions 28 to 507 of the family's 1533-position model. The record is from RNAcentral.